Molecule: regulatory RNA element, 170 nt
Organism: Ruminococcus sp. CAG:563
Lineage: Bacteria; Bacillati; Bacillota; Clostridia; Eubacteriales; Oscillospiraceae
Rfam family: Lysine riboswitch aptamer
About the family: Riboswitches are metabolite binding domains within certain messenger RNAs that serve as precision sensors for their corresponding targets. Allosteric rearrangement of mRNA structure is mediated by ligand binding, and this results in modulation of gene expression.
Source: Rfam
CAGGAUGAUGGAGGCGCGGUGCUUUACAAGUAACUUUCGCAGGGAAGGCAACUCAGGAAGUGAAAAGAUUGACCGCCGAAGCGUGGGGAGCUGCCUUGCGAACCAUAGCUGGGACGUUGCAGAAUAUGUAACGUACUGUCACAGCUUGUAUGUGGAGUGCUGUCAUGUAG